RNAcentral lists this long non-coding RNA (329 nucleotides) under Homo sapiens (human). Its description in RNAcentral is "non-protein coding lnc-SNRPN-8:136". Lineage: Eukaryota; Metazoa; Chordata; Mammalia; Primates; Hominidae. The record is from RNAcentral.
CAGAAUUUUUGUGCUUUCUCAGUCUUGCUGAUGAUCUUUCUAUGGGCCUGAAGCGUGGAGAGUGCCAGAGAGGCUGAUCCUCAGCAGUGUGGCAGAGGAAAGUUGGGUGCGACUAAGGGGUAUGCGGUGCCCACAUGCCACUGGGUCCUCAGCAGUACCACCUGAUUGGAAGUGAUAUUGGUGGAAGACAACAUUUUGCCGCUUGGAAUUCUCACCUCCACACCAAAGAAGUACUGUUUUUGUCAUUUGCACCAGCUUCUUUCUCCAGGAAAGAUCAAAACGAUGCACUGCAAGGUUAACAUCCAAUUUUUAAUACAUGUAAUUCCCUG